UUUGGUGGAGGAACCAGACUGGAUGUUGGAAGUGAUGUCCGUCCCACCCUGACGGUGCUGCCCCCCUCCAGUGAGGAGCUGCAGCAGGGGAAGGCCACGCUCAUGUGCCUGGCCAACAAGGGCUUCCCCUCAGACUGGAGUCUGGCCUGGAAGGUGGACGGCAGCAGCAGCAGCAGCAGCAGCUGGGAGGAGAGCAGGAGCCCCGGGGUGCUGGAGAAGGACGGCCGCUACAGCUGGAGCAGCACCCUGAGGCUCCCUGCAGACCAGUGGAGGAAGGUGGGCUCUGUGACCUGUGAGGCCACCCAGGGCUCCCAGGCUCUGGUCUCAGAGACACUGAGGAGAGACCAGUGUUCCCAGUCCUGACCUGACUCACUGGGACUCUACUGGUUUUGCUACUGGUUUUACUCUGCUACUGCUCUUAGUCUGCUCUCUGUAACUCUGUCACUCAACUCUGUCAUCAGAUAUUAUUAACAUUAUUCAACUUUAAUUAGUGAAGCUUGAUUGAUGUAAUGAUGUUAUCAAUAUAAGAAAAUAAAAAAGUUAUUUCAAAUUAA
This is a non-coding RNA of Micropterus salmoides (largemouth bass), 554 nucleotides long. The record is from the annotation of a RefSeq genome assembly. Lineage: Eukaryota; Metazoa; Chordata; Actinopteri; Centrarchiformes; Centrarchidae.